AUACGGAGGGCGCAAGCGUUGCCCGGAAUCACUGGGUGUAAAGGGUGCGUAGGCGGGGCUGUAAGUCAGAGGUGAAAGCCCUCGGCUCAACCGGGGAAUUGCCUCUGAUACUGCAGCUCUUGAGUCCCGGAGAGGCCGCUGGAAUUCCUGGUGUAGCGGUGAAAUGCGUAGAUAUCAGGAGGAACACCGGAGGCGAAGGCGGGCGGCCGGACGGGGACUGACGCUGAGGCACGAAAGCGUGGGGAGCAAACAGGAUUAGAAACCCUAGUAGUCC
RNAcentral lists this ribosomal RNA (274 nucleotides) under uncultured bacterium. Its description in RNAcentral is "partial 16S ribosomal RNA". It matches the Rfam family "Bacterial small subunit ribosomal RNA", at positions 523 to 796 of the family's 1533-position model. The record is from RNAcentral.